GAAUAAAUGAUGUAGAUAAAAAUCAUUAAUAAAACAAUCAGAUGUGUUCAGGUGUUAAAUGUGUAGCUCAACAUUACUAUGUCCUGAUCAAUGAGCUUUGCCCUAAACUGAGUAGAGUGACUUUGUCAUUGUGUUAUUGUGCUCAUCCCAACAGGAUGCAGGUUAAAGACUGGAAAAUACACAAAGUGAAAAACAGCUCUCAUAAAUAUCAUUGACAACGUGCUGCUACUUCAAUAAAGAUGUAGUGACUUCACCUCUUAAACUCUGCCAGCUCCACCAGUGGCUCCAUCAUCACUAACUCAUGUUGUGCAGCCAAACACAAAUCACUUAUUUAAAGAAUCAUGAGGGUAAAUUUAAGUUGAAAUCAAGUCUUUAAAGCAGGGCUGUUCAAUUACAAAUUCAACUGGGCCGGAUUUUAAACCAGAAAAUGUUGAUUGGCUUUUUUGUUUUAGCUAUUGGUGAUGACACAUUUCUAAACAGGUGCAAAUUACUGUAGUAAAAGUAGCAAUGUUUUUAGUGUCACAUUUGAAAUAAUUAAAAAAAAAAAAAGUAAUCGCAUAUCUGACAGAGGAACAUCACAUAAUGCAGAAACAGAAUAAAGAAGAGCUGUCAAUGCACAGAAGCAUAACAAGUGACAUUAACAGUAACUAAUAACACACUCUAUCUCUCUACCACACACACACACACACACACACACACACACACACACACUUCCUGACGUUUAGCUUUAAGGUCAAGUGUUUAUGAAAAUACACAGGAUAUAGUUUUAUACAGUCUAUGGCAGCAACAGUCAUGUUUACAACAACAAAGUCACUAUAUAAACUCAAUAAUAUUUCCCGACUCGAAUCACACAACGAGGCAGUCACGUGAUUCCAGAGAAACGGGGCCUCGUUUGUCUUUGGUCACGUGAUAUCCUGAAAAACAAUACGGGCUUCGACACGGGCUUCAUUUGGACACGCCCCCUUUGCUCGACACAGGCCUCGGAACUGCAGUAUCAGCUGUAACAUCACUAGUGACGGGAAAGCUAGUAUCAGCAUUGCUUCUGCCUGGAGCUCGCAUGUAUGGAGCCUGGGUUUGGUUGAAGAUGGCAGUGCUGUUUGGGCUGAGAAAGCCAUGUGUAAGUAAGGAGGAAAUCCAGGAAGAGGAAGGUUAUUUAAGUGUGGGAGUGGCCUAUCUGAAUCCAUUUUGUUUGAGACCAUGCUGCAAAGUGAGUGUGUUUGCUGAUCCUGUGAGUUCAUUUAGCUCCUUUUAACUUUAGCUUACAUUGUAGUUAUGCUGUGUAGCGUGUGAAAUAGAGUAUGGUGAAUGUGCUAGUAAAGGUAGUAUCAGCAUUGCUUCUGCCUGGAGCUCGCAUAAACGGAGCCUGGGUUUGGUUGAAGGUGGCAGUGCUGUUUGGGCUGAGAUCACUGUCUAGCCUCCUGGAGGUGUCAUUAUUGUGAGGGCUCGUCUUGGGGAGGUCGACUGUACAGCCUAACCCGGCGGGGGAGUGUGAUAGCCUAACAAGGCUUCCUUCCCUGGGUCUACCUCCUCUGUGGUAGUAUAGGUAAGGUAAAGGAGGUUGUUCGGUUAGUGUGGGGAGCAGUGAGACCUGGCAUUAGGGGAGUGUCUCUGGGACGCCAGAGAUCACUGUCUAGCCUCCUGGAGGUGUCGUGGGACCAACUAGACGAAACACUGGUGAAAGGAGGUUCCCACCCGAUGACCCCAAAGACGUGUUAGUUAUCACCGCUCACUGGUCUGUAUAGUUAAGCCUUGCCAUAAUAGCUUGUCGUAGGGCUUAGGAGGUUAUUCACUGAGUGCUGAUCCCUUUUUUUUUUUUUCAGAGCACAAACUUCUUGUGUUUAUUAAAUGAAUUCAGAGUCUCGAUACCAAUCCCUACCCAGCCACUCUGAGGUUGCUUCUGGUCCUGAUAUAGCCUGCAGGCCGCCAACUGAAUAGGCCUGCUUUAAAGGUUAGGACUGAAUUUUCAACUCACUUUUUCUACUUCAAUUAAAGUUAUACUAUGCAGGAUUGUUGCUUACAGUUUGUAAACACACUUGCUAGUGAAAGGGAAAGUAAAAGCCAACCCCAGAUUCAUUCUUGUUUGGCAUUACUUCUCACUAUAUUUGUGUUUUCAGGUGUUGUAUCUCUUUGAUUCCUGCUGCUUACAGUCUGGCAUCUGGUCCCCACCUUUUUAUAAAGCCCUGAGCUCACCUAACACAGGCAGAGGGCAGAGUCUCUGCAGAUAAAUACACCACCACACACUGAGAGUGGCUCAUAAGCAAGGGCGGACUGGCCAUCGGGAGUACCGGGAGAUUUCCCAGUGGGCCGCUGGGUCAGUGUGGGCCGGUACAGCCGGAGGAAAAAAAAACAAAAAAACUUUAGGCGCAGUUGGGCUGGCCUUUAAUAUGAUAACCAAUGUUCACAGUUUCUCUAGUAGUGUUUGGCUCAUCAUCUUUGGCCCAUGUGGGUGUGUCACACCCCUUUCACCUCGUCGUUGAGCUGUUGGCCAAUCACAGCCGAGGGCUGAGGGCCACGGGCUGUCCCGUCCUCCUUCUGCAUCAAUCAAUCAAUCAAUCAAUCAAUCAGAAGUCAAGGAGAAGAUUAGGGAAAAAAGAGACAGGCAUUGCUGCAAAUGCUGCAAAAUGUCAGAAACUGACAACCCUGUUUUCUGCUGCUGGACCAUCCUCUGCAGCAUCAGCAGCAGCACCUGUGGCGGCAGCUCUGGCGUGUGACCAGGUGGGAGAUGCAACUCAGGUAAGGCGGCUGUAAUGGGAUCAUUUUUUUGCUAGCUUGCUAACUUUUAGCACAGCGCGUGUAGUUUGCUUUUUGCUGUCAGAACGUCAUUACUGUGUACAGACUAGAGCCAGACAGGGCUCAGUGGCAUUAGUCAACAUGGUUAAGUAGUUCAUAAAGUAACGUUAGUAACAUCUGAUCUAUCAUUAUCUCUUGUGUAUUCCCCUUAAAGCUGCUGAGGUAAAUGCAGCUCUGCUGUCUUAAUUACUUUGCUAAUUCAUCAACAUUAAAAUGUCAUUUUUUCCUUUUUGUGUGGGCAUUGCUGGACAAUAUAUAGAAAUUGAGACAGUCUAGUACAUGCACUGCCAAGGGGAAAAUGUAAUGCAUUGUUCUUAGUGUAUUAUUCGCAGUCAGAUUAUAAAACUUGGACUUUUUCACUAUUUAAGAGCAUUUGAUUGUGCUUAUCUGAGGCACCAUCUAUAGGUUAAUGUGUUCAACAUUUUUCUAUACAACAUAAAUGAAAUUUAAAUAUUCUGACAGUAAUGUUCCUGCAUAUUUCAAAUAUUAAAUAUCAAACAACAUGAUGUAGCAAAAUGUUCCUCAAUACAUGGAAGUGAACUUUGACAUUUCAAGUACAUUUACUAUAUGUUAACAGUUAGUAGGGCUACAGAAUAAUAUGUUCUCUCAAGCCUACAUGAAAUAAACUUAAUGCUCACUCAGAUUAUGUGUUCUGUUAGUGUAUACUUUUCAACAUCUUCUCCUUUCACAACACUUGGAAUGUUUUGGAUGAAUUAAAGCCUCUUUCUUUUAGAAGCAUUCAGAAGAGACCAUCACAGCCUUUUACUAACCUUUACUAAACCUGGUUUAGGGAGGGACCAUUGUGUACUUGGGAAUGAUACACAUAUAGUACAUUACAUUACACAGUGCACUUUUUCACCUGUGUUUACUUAUCAAUCAAAACACUAUUUUUCCAUUACCUAUAUUACUGUUUAUUGUAAUGCAGCUUUUUUUCACCUCUUCUUUUGGGAAUUGCCCAAAACUUCAACCUAAUGUCUCUCUUCACAUCUCCUGCCAGGUUGAGUCACCAUCCCCACAGAAGGACUGUGGCAGGGAGGGAGAGGAGAGCAGCCUGGUCGUACUAGUCCAGGUAAAGCCAUAUUCAUACAUAGCAUUUUUUAAUUCAUCUAGAGUAAUGAAUUAAACAUUCAUUAAAAAGUGCUUAACACCAUAAUAGUGUACUACUAUUAAAUUCUACCAUUUUAACAUUUCACUGAUAGUGUUGUUUAAGUGCUUUACUAACAUAAACAAUCUCUUAUCUACACUGAAGAUGAUCAUGCAUCCACCGCCAGCAUCCCCGCCCCGAUCCCUGGAGAGUGGACCGGUCAGGUACCAAAUUCCCAGGCUGCUUUUUUGCCCCAGUCCGCCCCUGCUCAUAAGUGAUGAUUGAGAGGGAUUAUUUCUGUAUGAGUCUAUACACUGUUUUUAAGGAAGAUCCUGCAGAGUUUAUCUUUAAGGUUUUAGCUCCACAUUGCUCUGCCACAGUCAAUGGAUUAAACCACUGAACAAGACAAAUAGACUUCAUUGUGGAUCAGUAUAAUAUCAGCCUGAUGUCUGCAGUUUAGUGUCAGCACAACUUUCACAUCAUAAUAAUCUCAGCACAGGAGUAAAAAAUGGUGUCUGACCUCAGAGACUCCAGUUUACAGUGUGGACUCUCCAGAAAACCACACAGCUGCUUCACUCCUGAAUCCUGCAGGUUGUUGUUACUCAGCUGCAGCUCUCUCAGAUGGGGGGACUUCACAGCUGAGGCCAGAUAAACACAGCU
Epinephelus fuscoguttatus (brown-marbled grouper) is the source of this 4534-nucleotide long non-coding RNA. RefSeq lists it as uncharacterized. The record is from RefSeq and is a predicted model, not a curated record. NCBI's taxonomy places the organism in Eukaryota, Metazoa, Chordata, Actinopteri, Perciformes, Serranidae. The transcript is spliced from 3 exons.